This 756-nucleotide ribosomal RNA is filed under the name uncultured delta proteobacterium. RNAcentral's name for it is "bacterial SSU rRNA". The stretch from base 20 to 346 matches the Rfam family "Bacterial small subunit ribosomal RNA", at positions 47 to 358 of the family's 1533-position model. Lineage: Bacteria; Deltaproteobacteria. The record is from RNAcentral.
GAUGAACGCUGGCGGCGUGCUUAACACAUGCAAGUCGAACGAAGCUGCUUAAAGGAAGUCUUCGGAUGGAAUUUAGGUAGACUUAGUGGCGAACGGGUGAGUAGCGCGUGGAUAACCUGCCUUAUACAGGGGGAUAACGGAGAGAAAUUUCCGCUAACACCGCAGAAGACCACAGCACCGCAUGGUGCAGGGGUAAAAUAUUUAUAGGUAUAAUAUGGAUCCGCGUCCGAUUAGCUAGUUGGUGAGGUAAAGGCCCACCAAGGGCACGAUCGGUAGCCGGCCGGGGAUGGUGAACGGGCACCGUGGGAUUGAUACCUGGUCUAAAAUCCUUCCGUAGGGAAAUGUGUCUUCUAUCACACGGUGGGGGUAGAUCUGGGUCUCCCCCACUGUCCAAUAUACCCCACUGUUGCCUACCGAAAGAGUUUACGCCCGGGUCUCAAAUCCAAUGUGGGUGGUUCACCAACUCAGGGCGGCUACCGAUCGGCGGCCUGGUGGGCCUCUUACCUCACCAACCUAUAUCAGCAGAUACUGAUCGAUAUGAGAGCUAUAAAUAUAUUUACCCCCCGUCCCAUGCGGGGCUGUGGGCUCACGCAGGGCUAGCGGAAAAUUCUUCUCCAGUAUCCCCCUGGGGAGGGGGAGGGAGACUCGCGCUACUCGCCCCUAUGCACUAAAUCUACACUGAAACAACAGCCGACGAACUUCGCUUAAUUGGUCCGAUUGUCUGGUGAGGUGUUAAAGCCCCCGCAGCGAUUCGUA